This is a non-coding RNA of Paramuricea clavata, 357 nucleotides long. The record is from the annotation of a GenBank genome assembly. NCBI's taxonomy places the organism in Eukaryota, Metazoa, Cnidaria, Anthozoa, Malacalcyonacea, Plexauridae.
CCCUAUGCAAUAGAAGCCGUAGACCAUUUACAUCAUCACGAUAGUGCUGCACGAUAUAGUCCACUUCUUUUUCCUUUCCCAAUAGAAAAUCUUCAACCCGAGUUAGAUGACGGGAUGUUUCAUCAGGCUCAAAUAUUUCCGUUAGGCCCACAAGUACACUAUCCAAUAUAUGAAACUAUUUAACUCUAUAAAACUCUUCAGGUGUUGAAGCCACAAAAAGAACCCCCGCCCCAUCGUCAAUUCUUGCGGGGAUGUUUCUUUGUCUUGGUAGCCUAGGCUCUUCAAUCAAAUCGUUAACAGUUAGCAUAUUUUGGCUGGAUUGCCAAAUGUUUGAAAAGUAGCUCUCUUUCCUCGCAU